This 3938-nucleotide long non-coding RNA is filed under the name Phaseolus vulgaris (common bean). Its description in RNAcentral is "long non-coding RNA (PVUL_LNC003919)". Lineage: Eukaryota; Viridiplantae; Streptophyta; Magnoliopsida; Fabales; Fabaceae. The record is from RNAcentral.
AUAGUUCGUUUUUUCACAUGAAAAAUUUAUAAAUAAAAUAAAAAGUACUCAUGGGUACAUCUUUGCUUGGGGCAGAAAUGACAUCCUUCUUGGCACCACCCUGAUAACAACAAAAUCCCAAAUUACACUCAUUUCAAACUACUCAAUAAUUUUCCUAGAUAUCUAUUAUAAGGUGAUCUUGUAGGGAUUCAAACGUCGAAGGAUUCGCCUCGUCAAACUCUAUCUUCCACCUCCGCCACCGUGACAAGUGCAAGAACGCUCCAGGAACUCCACAAGAACUCCAAGCAAACCUGCGAAACACACCAAACGGCGCCUCUAGCGGCCGAUGGCACUCCGACGCUCAAGUCAGCCUUACAAAACCACCAAAGAACUAAGAAUUGACUCUCUGCGAGACUCGUGUGCACUCUGUGAUUCUCUCUCUUUUCUCUGUGUGUGUAAACUGGUAACUUGCAAGAAUGAAUCUUACCUCCCUUUGCAUGAGCGUGGAAUGCCCUUUAUAUACUCUGUUGUGCGCCUAAAUUAUCCGUGCAUGAAGUAACUUAGCGCGUUUCUUCCACUAGAUGGCUCGUGCAACCUCAGUGUGAAUACCAAGCGUGGCUUGGCUAAGCGCACGCACCAGGCAUUACCUACUGUGUGAACGAUCAUCUCUGCUUUGCACCAUGCACGUUAUGGGUUAAGAGAGCACCAAUCACCGAAUGGCUUACUAGCUCUCUUAGGCCACUCUCGUGCACGACACUACCAAGCACAUAGCUUCUCCUUUCUCUGAUACUCUGUCACACAAGGCUCGUAUGCGACGCUCUCGCUGGGAAUCACCCUUCGUUUCCAGCUUAACUGCGUGUAACACGAAACCCCGAUGAUCAUCGCUCAGACCAGAUGACCGAUCGGUGCACCAUAGCACCACGCCUUCUGCUUCCAGGCGCUUAUCUAGGCGUUGAUCGCGCAUCCUCUCUGACCACCGCCCCCUGAUCACCGAUCACCACCCUGGGUGACUUUCUCAAUGACUCAUCUGCUUCCCUGGCCCAUGUGUUCCACUAAGAACGGUCCACGUGGCUAUCUGUUGCUGAUGUCACCGACUACCGAUGACCGACCGGAUCACAAGCCCCCCAGUCUCGAGCUGUAAAUUUGUUUUCAGCGAAGAGACUAAGUGAUUGUCUUCAGUGGCCACGUGACAAGUGAUGCCACGUCACGUGUCACAUCACGUGCUGUGCUUUAAGUGACGUUACGCCUUCCUCCCCUAACCUUGCAACACGUGUACGCAUCAACGGCUAGCAUGAAACGUCAUUUGCGCUUCUCACAUUCAAAUACUUGCGCGCCUCCACUGUUCCAUCACCUUCUCCAACGCUCUUCUCUGAAACUCUCGAAGCCCUUCUCUGCGCGAUUCGUCUUCCUCAAUCUCAAGCUUUCAGAAACCACUUGCGAUCAUCAAAAGGUACCCCUUUUCUUCAUCUAUGGCAUAGAGAAUACUUUCUACCGAUUGCAUCAUCCAAUAACUGCACUGUGCAUACGUUGUGGGCUGUUUUCCCUUUCCCUGCACUGUACUGGGGUUUCUUCUGGUUUUUCUGCAUUUUCCUGUGUUUUCGCUUCUUCUUCUUCGUCGCUUUCGCUUCUCCACUCCCUUCAACCAUAGCAUUUUUGUUCUCCUCGCCUUCCUCUUGUUUUUCGCUGAACCUUGUUUUUCAUUGGUCCCUCAUUCCUUCUUUUCUUUCUCCAUUGUAGCUACUGAACAAUGCCUUGAACAAAAACUACUGCACGUCUCGCCUCCUCCUCUGGUGCACAGCCUUCCGCAAGUGCACCACCACCGCCUUCGACGAGCGCGCCCCCCUCAACGAGUGCGCACCCCCAAGCGGCGCCUCCUCGACAUAACUACGCGCGGGUGUACCAAUGGGCUCCCCUCCACUUGCUCGCUGAGACUUCUACGCAACUUCCCGACGACCAUCUCACCAACCUUCUGAGCAGCGACUCAGACGAACCCACAUGCGCCCUUGAGAGGGACGAUGACUCACACUUGGACGUGUGCAUCCCCCCUCGAGACAUGCCAAUAUGCGUGGAUGAUAGGGCCACCAAUGGAGUGCCCUUCACCUUCAUUUACUCCGCCAUCUUCAAGAGGUUGCGCUCACCGAGUUGAACGUGGCUCCCUGUCAACUCCAUCCAAACGCUUGGGCCUUCAUCCGAGCGUUCGAGAUUCUCUGCAACCAUUUCGGACACCCUCUUUCAACCGACGUCUUCCUCCACUUCUUCGAGGCCAAGAACCCCGAUGAUAGGUCAUGGGUGAGCCUGAACGGUGUGUCAGGGAGAGUGAUCUUGGGCCUAUAUCAGCAAUCCUUCAAGGACUGGAAGGGUAGGUUCUACAUGAUCACCUCAAACGAGCACAGUCCGACUCUACUUGAGGGUUUCCCACUCUAUUGGGUUCCCAAGGUAGAGUUCAAAAAACCCUGAGCGCGAGCUGUGAGGCCUACUCUCGAGCUUGGGCGCUAAAUUCGGCUCCUCCACCCUCAUCAAGCACGAGUUCGACGCGGAGGCGCUUAAAAAAUACAUUGGUUUGCAUUCUCUUAUUCCCUUCAACUUGUCAUUUCUCUGGGUAUGAUAGUGUUCUUGCGCUUAACUGCAACUGCCUGUGUUGUUUUCACUCCUAGCUUGCUUGCCACACUUGCACACUUGCACAUAUUAAUCACUUCUCUGCAUGCUAACACUGAACUGAUGAGCUUGAUCGACUCUUCUGCACUUUGUUUGCUUUCUUGGCUCUUUGUGCACUAACCCUUUGUCAUGCCUAACCGGUGCAGAUAUGACUUCCAGCAAAGAACGACGCCAAAAGCUAAUCGUGGUAGCUAAGAGCCGAUGAGCUAUUGGGUCGUCUUCGGGGACCGAGGCCACCUCCGAGCCCAUCUCUGCCACCCCUCUCUCGGUCGCGCCAGCUGAAGGCCCCGAGACCAGGGGUGAGAGGAAAAGGAAACGGCUGGUGAAGGCUCCCACCACCGUCGCAUCCACCGAGGAGGAGAGCUCGGGGUCUCCUCUAGUCCAAAGAAGAAGAAAGGGAGCCGAGGUGGGCGGCUCUUCCACUCUAAGGCCCGAGGGCGCUGAGGGGGAUGCCUCUCCGAUCCCCCCAGCACAGACUUCUCCAACACGCCCUCCUUCUCCAGCACAUCUGCCUUCCGCGCCCCCAGUCAGUCAACCCCUCACCUUGCCAUCUCAAACUGCUGGGAGCGGGGCUGCUCGCUCGGAGGGGAUCUCUCACCCCUCAACCUCACCACGCCCUCAAGACUUCCCUGCCACAACCGAGGGUGGUGGUGAGAGUUCCCUCCGAGCCUCGAGUUCCAGCACUGAAGGGCUCACCACAGUUAUCGAGCUGACCAAGCAACAGCUCCAACACCGCGAGCUGGUCAACUGGAGCGGGAACGAGGUGGACCUUCAUCUGGCCCGCCAACUGGUGCUUUCUCUGGAGUUCUCCACCCAGCAUCGCCGCAUCAAGAAGCUGGAGGGAAAGAUGAGGGAGCUGUACAGCCAAAAGGAGUCGCUACAAAGUUACUACGAGGCCCUGCAGAACACCAACGAGCUGCUGAGAAACAUGGUGGAGGAGGCCAAGACGGGGCACCCCUGCAAGUCCAAGAAACCAUCAAGACAGAGAUGCUGAUGGGGGACGCCGUCGCCAUUCUUGACGCUGAGUUGGUCGAGACCACGGGCAAAGCCAUUCAGCUUGAAGCCGAGAAUGCCUUCCUGUGCCAACAGAUCACAAAUCUGGCGGAGGCUCUCGCUGCAAACGAGAAGCGUGCCGAUGAUCAGGGGUCCAAGCUCAAGGAAGCCGAAUCCACCAUCGCCCCUGCCACCGUGACGAUGGUUUAGCUCAAACUCUAUCUUCCACCUCUGCCACCGUGACAAGUGCAAAAACGCUCCAGGAACUCCACAAGAACUCCAAGCAAACCUGCGAAACACACCAAACGGCG